Non-coding RNA from Bos taurus (domestic cattle), 73 nucleotides. The record is from Rfam. Lineage: Eukaryota; Metazoa; Chordata; Mammalia; Artiodactyla; Bovidae.
UCCCUGGUGGCUCAGAUGGUAGAGAAUCUGCCUGCAAUGCAGAAGACCUGGAUUUGAUCCCCAGGUUGGGGGC